CUGACACACAGAGCUGAGCUGGCAGCUGCAGGAGAGGAGGAAGAGGAGGAAGAGGAGAAGAGGAUCCCGGCAUGUCCGUUCUGAGCAACCUUCAGAGAAGACCCAGCCUGGAGACAAAAGACACGAGGAAAACCUUUGCACACAGGCAUGUGUUCCUGUUCCAUGGGUUGAACUGAUUGUACCAGUUACAAGUGGCAGAAGAGGCUGGCCAAGCUGUCCUCAGAGCUGUCUGGCACACUGCUCUCUGCAGCAGAGCCCUACCUGCUUUUCAUGGUGGUACAGAGAUGCCAGCGUGUAGGGCAGGAUCUGGAGUGCAGAGAAGGUGAAGCCCGUCAGAGCAGCUGAGAUGGUGACAACGAUGACACUGUGGGAAAGGCACAUGACAAAGGCAGCCACGGGGAAGAACACCACGCUGGCCAGGUAGACCACCCGUGUCCCAAACUGCUUCACCAUCCGGUCCAUGAUUGUCGAGAAGAAGAUGGAAGUGACACACUGCAGGAAGAGGCCCAAGCUGCCCAUCCGGACACCUGCAGGGAGGCAGAGGUGGUGACAGACACUGUCCUGACUGCACCCAGGCCUCCCACAGUCCUGACACCUCGGGGCCUCCUUCCCUCUCCUUUGGGACCCAGCUCCACAGGGUCCAUGCAGAGUGUGGCACAGCCUCAGACAGUCCUGACAGCCACAGAGCAGCAUCACCCAAUACAUCCCACCCUCCACCAGCAGCAUACAUGUGCUUCUGGGCACCUUCCUACUCUUGACCCAGGAUCUGUCACCUGCUUGUGAACAAGGAUCUGUUAUCAUCCGAUGCCAAAACCAGCAACUGAACAAAAGGAACAAGGAAUUGUGCUUAAGCCAAGAGAAACAACAAAUCAAUUCCGAGAGGCUGGUUCACCUGGCAGCCAGGGAGGAGGCGGGUCCUGGGGGCAGGAGCAAAGCAGCACUGCUGGACAAAGGCAGCCAGGAGCAGAGGGCUCCCUGCCACCUGCACAGAGCUUUUUCAGCAGGCAACCAAAGCAGAAAGGACUGCACCUCCCACAGUGAUCCUGGUGCCUCGUGCCCCCUCUCUCUCCUCUCCCUCUGAAGCAGCCAGCAGGACAGGGAGGAAGCCAGGCAGCCUGCCUCUGCGGAGCACAAGUCACCAAGCAGCACAACAGGGAGCAAGGAGAAGCAGCCGGGAUGAAGCCAGGGAAAGAGGAUUCUGAGAGCCCACUCCUCCAAAGACCAGCAGGUUGCAUUCACACAUUUCCCCCACGGAGUUUGUUCUCUCUUCACAUGCUACAGAAAAAGUUUGGACAAGUGCUCUCCUCUGCUCGAUGUGGUACAGAGAAGCAGCAAGGCCCUGCCUGACAAAACCCAUGACAGGAACUUGAGGAGAGCACCAAGGAGUGCACAGACAGACAUGCCAGUGGGAACAGGACUGCAUCUACCCCUGGUGUCAGAUGCACAGACUCCUUUACAGGCAGCAGCACCACAGCAGGAGUUCACUUCCCACUUCCUUCCUCUCAGCUAGCACAGACGUUGCCCGUGUGCCCUCACUAACAGACCCUGAAUCCCACCUUUGGCUUUAGGAGAAACAAACCCUGAGGCACCUGAAGGAAGUGGACCAUGUGCAGGGCACUGAUAGGCACGCACAAGCAAAGACUGAAAGAAGUCUCUCCUCCUUCCCAUCUCCUCAAAUCUUCCCAAUAGGAUCUUACAAGUAAUCACACCCAAACAGUGAUUUGACAGAAUGAAGAUUGAGGAAUGGACAUUUUAAAAAUAAA
Apus apus (common swift) is the source of this 1763-nucleotide long non-coding RNA. RefSeq lists it as uncharacterized. The transcript is spliced from 3 exons. The record is from RefSeq and is a predicted model, not a curated record. Lineage: Eukaryota; Metazoa; Chordata; Aves; Apodiformes; Apodidae.